AAAUUACCCACUUUUAAUUUAGAGAGGUAGUGACGAUAAUUAAUAGAGUUGGUCUAUUCGAUCAAUUCAAUUAUAAUGAUUAGAGUUUAAAAAAAUUUAAGAAAUCGAUUGGAGGGCAAGUCUGGUGCCAGCAGCCGCGGUAAUUCCAGCUCCAAUAGUGUAUAUUAAAGUUGUUGUGUUUAAAAAGCUCGUAGUCGAAUUAUAAGUUUUUUAUAAUAGUUUUUAAAAAGACUAAUAUAAAAAAAGGAGAAAGGUUUUUUUAAUCUUUUAUUUACUUUGAAAAAAAUAGAGUGUUUAAAGCAAAAGUUAAUUAAUGUAUAAUGAAGCAUAGGAUAAUAAUGAGGAGAAUAAAUUUUUGAGAACAGUAUUAAAAAGGGAAAUUGGGGUAAUUUAGACAAAAUCGGGAGAGGUGAAAAUUCAUGAUCGAUUUUGGAUAAACUAAAGCGAAAGCAUUUUACUCAUAUUCUUUUAUUUGAUCAAGAACGAAAGUUAGGGGAUCGAAGUCGAUUAGAUACCGUCGUAGUCCUAACUAUAAACUAUGUCAACUGGGGAUUGGAUGAAAAUAAACAAGAAAGAUUGAUUUUCGAUUCGGAAGUUUAUCUUAAUUGUUACUCUCUUAUUCAGGAUUUAAAGGGAAACCUUUAAGUUAAUGGACUUCAGGGGGAGUAUGGUCACAAGGCUGAAACUUAAAGGAAUUGACGGAAGGGCACACCAGGAGUGGAGCCUGCGGCUUAAUUUGACUCAACACGGGAAAACUUACCAAGACCGUACAUUAAAGGAUUGACAGAUUAAUAGUUUUUUCAUGAUAUGAUGGUGAGUGGUGCAUGGCCGUUCUUAGUUGGUGGAGUGAUUUGUCUGGUUAAUUCCGAUAACGAACGAGACUUUAUCUUAUUAAUUGGUUUAGUAAGAGUUUACUUUUACUAAUAAUAUUUUUAUAUACUAUUUAAAAGGACAGACUCUCAUUUUGAAUCAAUUUAAUCAUUGAAUUGGUUUAAAGAAAGAGGAGGAAGCAUGAAGCAAUAACAGGUCCGUUAUG
Molecule: ribosomal RNA, 1036 nt
Filed under: Entamoeba polecki
Lineage: Eukaryota; Evosea; Mastigamoebida; Endamoebidae
Description: partial small subunit ribosomal RNA
Rfam family: Eukaryotic small subunit ribosomal RNA
Source: RNAcentral